UGGCGGACGGGUGAGUAACGCGUGAGAAUCUGGCUUCAGGUCUGGGACAACCACUGGAAACGGUGGCUAAUACCGGAUGUGCCCUGCGGGGUGAAAGGUUAACUGCCUGAAGAUGAGCUCGCGUCUGAUUAGCUAGUAGGUGUGGUAAAGGCGCACCUAGGCGACGAUCAGUAGCUGGUCUGAGAGGACGAUCAGCCACACUGGGACUGAGACACGGCCCAGACUCCUACGGGAGGCAGCAGUGGGGAAUUUUCCGCAAUGGGCGAAAGCCUGACGGAGCAAUACCGCGUGAGGGAGGAAGGCUCUUGGGUCGUAAACCUCUUUUCUCAGGGAAGAACACAAUGACGGUACCUGAGGAAUAAGCAUCGGCUAACUCCGUGCCAGCAGCCGCGGUAAUACGGAGGAUGCAAGCGUUAUCCGGAAUGAUUGGGCGUAAAGCGUCCGCAGGUGGCGAUGUAAGUCUGCUGUUAAAGAGUGAGGCUCAACCUCAUAAGAGCAGUGGAAAC
This 506-nucleotide ribosomal RNA is filed under the name uncultured bacterium. Its description in RNAcentral is "bacterial SSU rRNA". It matches the Rfam family "Bacterial small subunit ribosomal RNA", at positions 96 to 633 of the family's 1533-position model. The record is from RNAcentral.